This 440-nucleotide ribosomal RNA is filed under the name uncultured bacterium. RNAcentral's name for it is "partial 16S ribosomal RNA". It matches the Rfam family "Bacterial small subunit ribosomal RNA", at positions 338 to 795 of the family's 1533-position model. The record is from RNAcentral.
CCUACGGGAGACAGCAGUGGGGGAUAUUGCACAAUGGGGGAAACCCUGAUGCAGCGACGCCGCGUGGGUGAAGAAGCGCCUCGGCGCGUAAAGCCCUGUCAGCAGGGAAGAAAAUGACGGUACCUGAAGAAGAAGCCCCGGCUAACUACGUGCCAGCAGCCGCGGUAAUACGUAGGGGGCAAGCGUUAUCCGGAUUUACUGGGUGUAAAGGGGGCGCAGACGGGGAUGCAAGCCAGGAGUGAAAGCCCGGGGCCCAACCCCGGGACUGCCCUUGGAACUGGGUGGCUAGAGUGCAGGAGGGGCAGGCGGAAUUCCUGGUGUAGCGGUGAAAUGCGUAGAUAUCAGGAGGAACACCGGUGGCGAAGGCGGCCUGCUGGACUGCAACUGACGUUGAGGCCCGAAAGCGUGGGGAGCAAACAGGAUUAGAUACCCUAGUAGUC